Molecule: ribosomal RNA, 752 nt
Filed under: uncultured organism
Description: bacterial SSU rRNA
Rfam family: Bacterial small subunit ribosomal RNA
Source: RNAcentral
CAGGCGUUUUGUGAAAGCCCUCGGCUCAACCGAGGAAUUGCUUGACGAACCGCGCGUCUUGAGGCAGGUAGGGGCUGUCGGAACGAUAGGUGGAGUGGUGAAAUGCGUUGAUAUCUAUCGGAACGCCGAAGGAGAAAUCAGGCAGCUGGGCCUGUCCUGACGCUGAGGUACGAAAGCGUGGGUAGCGAACGGGAUUAGAUACCCCGGUAGUCCACGCCGUAAACGAUGUGCACUAGAUCGAGGGGGUUCUGACACCGCUCUUGGUCGAAGCGAAAGUGUUAAGUGCACCGCCUGGGGAGUACGGUCGCAAGGCUAAAACUCAAAGGAAUUGACGGGGGCUCACACAAGCGGUGGAGCAUGUGGCUUAAUUCGAAGCAACGCGAAGAACCUUAUCCUGGGUUUGACAUGCACGGAUUAGCCCGGUGAAAGUCGGGUGACGCUCUUUGAGUGGAACGUGCACAGGUGCUGCAUGGCUGUCGUCAGCUCGUGCUGUGAAGUGUCGGGUUAAGUCCCUUAACGAGCGCAACCCCUGUCGCUAGUUGCCAGCGCGUCAUGGCGGGGACUCUAGCGAGACUGCCGGUGUCAAACCGGAGGAAGGUGGGGAUGACGUCAAGUCCGCAUGGCCUUUAUGCCCAGGGCUGCACACGUGCUACAAUGGUCGGUACAGAACGACGCAAUACCGCAAGGUGGAGCAAAUCGCAAAAGCCGGCCCCAGUUCGGAUUGCAGGCUGCAACUCGCCUGCAUGAAGUUG